GGCGAGUGMGCGGURAAASCUCRAMYWUGAAAUCUGGUACUUUCAGUGCCCGAGUUGUAAUUUGUAGAAUUUGUCUUUGAUUAGGUCCUUGUCUAUGUUCCUUGGAACAGGACGUCAUAGAGGGUGAGAAUCCCGUUUGGCGAGGAUACCUUUUCUCUGUAAGACUUUUUCGAAGAGUCGAGUUGUUUGGGAAUGCAGCUCAAAGUGGGUGGUAAAUUCCAUCUAAAGCUAAAUAUUGGCGAGAGACCGAUAGCGAACAAGUACAGUGAUGGAAAGAUGAAAAGAACUUUGAAAAGAGAGUGAAAAAGUACGUGAAAUUGUUGAAAGGGAAGGGCAUUUGAUCAGACAUGGUGUUUUUUGCAUGCACUCGCCUCUCGUGGGCUUGGGCCUCUCAAAAAUUUCACUGGGCCAACAUCAAUUCUGGCAGCAGGAUAAAUCAUUAAGAAUGUAGCUACUUCGGUAGUGUUAUAGCUUUUUGGAAUACUGUUAGCCGGGAUUGAGGACUGCGCUUCGGCAAGGAUGUUGGCAUAAUGGUUAAAUGCMGCCCGUCUUGAA
Molecule: ribosomal RNA, 555 nt
Filed under: Hanseniaspora uvarum
Lineage: Eukaryota; Fungi; Ascomycota; Saccharomycetes; Saccharomycodales; Saccharomycodaceae
Description: partial large subunit ribosomal RNA
Source: RNAcentral